This is a long non-coding RNA of Oncorhynchus tshawytscha (Chinook salmon), 2949 nucleotides long. NCBI's taxonomy places the organism in Eukaryota, Metazoa, Chordata, Actinopteri, Salmoniformes, Salmonidae. The record is from Ensembl.
GGGACAGGAGAACAGCACUACUCAUUCAGUGAGUGAAUGGGGACAGGAGAACAGCACUACUCAUUCAGUGAGUGAAUGGGGACAGGAGAACAGCACUACUCAUUCAGUGAGUGAAAGGGGACAGGAGAACAGCAUUGACUAUUGAAAUCAUUUAAUGCUUUUAAAAACAAAUACAAGUUACUUCACUGGAUCAUCACAUGUGAACAAGAAUAGAUUUUUUUCCACCAAUAUUUGUAAUAACACCCUCAGACAUAUUUCCCAUUCACAUGGCUGCAUACAGACAACUUCUCUCUCUUUUUAUUUCGUUGCAGUUGAUUAUUUACAGUCAAUCUAAGGAAUGCAUCGGCUCUGUGACAAUAAUAGCUCAUAUCGGCAGCAUAUUAAAACCUUGCUGUUUGGGAUGCAAAAUUCCGGUAACUUUCCCCCAAGAUUCCCAGGUUUUCCAGACAUUCCAGUUGGAAGAUUUCUGGAAUCAGGAGGGAACAAGCAGAAUGUGAACGCGACCUACUGUGCUGGAGUGGUCAGAUUCAGGUGGAUGAUGGUGGUAACACUAAUUUAUGCAUAUCAACUCAAUCUAGCCAUCAAAGGUAGGGGUGAACAUUUCCAGUAACUUCCGCCAAAUUCCCAGAAGUCCAGACUGGAGUUACCAGAAUUUUGCAAACCUAAUCAUAGUUGAUCUGUAUUAUAUAUGUUUGCAGUCAAAAUAGGUCUGUUGUUGUGGGUUGAUAGGUCUGUUAUUGUGGGGACGAUAGGUCUAUUGUUGUGGGGAUGAUAGAUCUGUUGUUGUGGGUUGAUAGGUCUGUUGUUGUGGGGGAGAUAGGUCUGUUGUUGUGGGGAUGAUAGGUCUGUUGUUGUGGGUUGAUAUGUCUGUUGUUGUGGGGACGAUAGGUCUAUUGUUGUGGGGACAAUAGGUCUGUUGUUAUGGGGAUGAUAGGUCUGUUGUGGGGAUGAUAGGUCUGUUGUUGUGGGUUGAUAGGUCUGUUGUUGUGGGUUGAUAGGUAUGUUGUUGUGGGUUGAUAGGUCUGUUGUUGUGGGGAUGAUAGGUAUGUUGUUGUGGGUUGAUAUGUCUGUUGUUGUGGGGACGAUAGGUCUGUUGUUGUGGGGGAGAUAGGUCUGUUGUUGUGGGGACGAUAUGUCUGUUGAUUUGUGGGUUGAUAGGUCUGUUGUUGUGGGGACAAUAGGUCUGUUGUUGUGGGGACAAUAGGUCUGUUGUUGUGGGUUGAUAGGUCUGUUGUUGUGGGUUGGUAGGUCUGUUGUGGGGACGAUUGGUCUGUUGUUGUGGGGAGAUUGGUAUGUUGUUGUGGGGAGAUAUGUCUGUUGUUGUGGGGACGAUUGGUCUGUUGUUGUGGGUUGAUAGGUCUGUUGUGGGGACGAUAGGUCUGUUGUUGUGGGUUGAUAGGUCUGUUGUUGUGGGGACGAUAGGUCUGUUGUUGUGGGUUGAUAGGUCUGUUGUUGUGGGUUGAUAGGUCUGUUGUUGUGGGGACGAUAGGUCUGUUGUUGUGGGUUGAUAGGUCUGUUGUUGUGGGUUGAUAGGUCUGUUGUUGUGGGUUGAUAGGUCUGUUGUUGUGGGGGAGAUAGGUCUGUUGUUUAUUGAACAGGCAGGAGGGCCCCUAAAUAAAACCCAUCUAUAAUCUCAACUUCAAUAUUAUAUACAUUAUUUACAAUGGAAUGUUGGGCUGAAGCUUUCAGACUUAAUGCUAUUGUAUACAAAAGAGUUGAAGCCUUCAGACUUAAUGCUAUUGUAUACAAAAGAGUUGAAGCCUUCAGACUUAAUGCUAUUGUAUACAAAAGAGUUGAAGCCUUCAGACUUAAUGCUAUUGUAUACAAAAGAGUUGAAGCCUUCAGACUUAAUGCUAUUGUAUACAAAAGUAUAUUGAGGGAAUGACAAUGAAAAACAAGAUAGAGAAUAAUUUUUACAACAACCAUAAUCUAUGGAUUCAAGGACAACACCAAUACCUAAUUCUGUCAUUCUCCCAUGUUUUUUUAAUCAUUUCAGGUCAAGUAUGGCAGUGGUUCCUAAAAGGAACAAAACAUUGAUUUGUGCUUGAAAAGAAAUAUAAUUGACUUCAGUUAUGGAAAUGCUUUGGGCACUGGGACACCGUUGUGUCCUAAGGGUGUUUGAAUUAUACCAAAUCUCUCAAUUACUGUGGGAAUCAUUCUGUUUUCAACUCUGCAGACGUUCUCCAGCCAUUUAGGUGUUUUCACGGGGAAUCAAAGUGCUGGAGGGUUGAAGUGAAGAGGAAGUAACAUCUAAUGUCUCUCCUUUCUCUGUCAUGUGAUAGGACAUUAUGGAAGCUGUUUCUGACAUCACAGAGAUACAAGCUAUAUUAGGAUCAUUCCUCCUCAACUUUAACGUCAAAGAGAACUUCUCUUCUUCAUCUACGGUAAAUCAUUCUUUAUAUGCAAUAUAUUUGAACAAAACCUCACUUCUCACAAAAGGCAUAGGCCCUAACAUACCCGAAGGAAUAAGAAAAUAAAGGAUCAUGUAUGGUCUCUUUCAUAAAACGUGUUGCAUGUGGUUUUCUUUCAGAAUCAUUGCAGCAGAAAUAAAGAACACAAGGCGAAAAUAACAAUGGUUUAACGCCGUUAUAGUUCUCAUCUUUAAAGUCUAACACAUAGUGGUGGUUCAGAAUCAGAAUCACAUUAUAGUGGUGGUUCAGAAUCAGAAUCACAUUAUAGUGGUGGUUCAGAAUCAGAAUCACAUUAUAGUGGUGGUUCAGAAUCAGAAUCACAUUAUAGUGGUGGUUCAGAAUCAGAAUCACAUUAUAGUGGUGGUUCAGAAUCAGAAUCAACACAUUAUAGUGGUGGUUCAGAAUCAGAAUCAACACAUUAUAGUGGUUGUUCAGAAUCAGAAUCACAUUAUAGUGGUGGUUCAGAAUCAGAAUCACAUUAUAGCGGUGGUUCAGAAUCAGAAUCACAUUAUAGUGGUGGUUCAGAAUCAGAAUCACA